AUUGAACGCUGGCGGCAGGCCUAACACAUGCAAGUCGAGCGGAUGAAGGGAGCUUGCUCCUGGAUUCAGCGGCGGACGGGUGAGUAAUGCCUAGGAAUCUGCCUGGUAGUGGGGGAUAACGUCCGGAAACGGGCGCUAAUACCGCAUACGUCCUGAGGGAGAAAGUGGGGGAUCUUCGGACCUCACGCUAUCAGAUGAGCCUAGGUCGGAUUAGCUAGUUGGUGGGGUAAAGGCCUACCAAGGCGACGAUCCGUAACUGGUCUGAGAGGAUGAUCAGUCACACUGGAACUGAGACACGGUCCAGACCCCUACGGGAGGCAGCAGUGGGGACUAUUGGACAAUGGGCGAAAGCCUGCUCCAGCCAUGCCGCGUGUGUGAAGAAGGUCUUCGGAUUGUAAAGCACUUUAAGUUGGGAGGAAGGGCAGUAAGUUAAUACCUUGCUGUUUUGACGUUACCAACAGAAUAAGCACCGGCUAACUUCGUG
Molecule: ribosomal RNA, 484 nt
Filed under: uncultured bacterium
Lineage: Bacteria
Description: partial 16S ribosomal RNA
Rfam family: Bacterial small subunit ribosomal RNA
Source: RNAcentral